ACUGUUUUAUUUAGAAAGAUUCUUUUAUUUGGCUAAUGAAUGACUUGAAACGCGAGAUUAACUUGUUUCACCUACUUAUGUAACAUCUCUGCUUCAGGGCUUAGAAGCUGCAGCUAUGCGAUUCAGUCUGUGAGCCUCCAGGUACCCAAGGAGAUGCUGCCCAGUUAAAUCAGAUUUCGUUACAGCUGUGAUCCAAGCCAUGAAGUGAAAACUCAAAGGAUAUAAAGAUUUGUGAUCGUUUGAUAGCUUUUGAAUCACCUGCAGUUCAGAUGCAUUUGAGUGUGGCUCAAGAAACUGUCUUGUGACUACAGAAGGCACCACAUGGGCUUGCAGUUUCCUUGGACUGCAGAAUCCUAAAGGGAGUGAAAUGACCCUAUUCAAUUCCCCAGUGCAGGUACACAGGAUUAAAGGAAACACCUGAUUUGCACAUCUGUUUCUUUUCAAAUGGAAAUGAAGUGGAGGAUAGUAAGCUUUUGAAUGCAGUGGUGCUGUUUGCUUGUUUGUUUCAAAACUCAGGCAAAAAAAAAAUGGGAAUAAUAAGACAUCCAGCAUCCAACUCUGUGUCGCAUUCAAGGAGAAGGAGUUUAGAUUCCUCUCCAAAAUGUAUGCUUUUCUGAGAAAGUCAGAAGAGUUAAUGAAAAAAGUCCCAAUUCUGAAGACUGAGAAACUCUG
Molecule: long non-coding RNA, 672 nt
Filed under: Numida meleagris (helmeted guineafowl)
Lineage: Eukaryota; Metazoa; Chordata; Aves; Galliformes; Numididae
Description: lncRNA (ENSNMEG00000016797.1)
Source: RNAcentral